UACGGAGGGGGCUAGCGUUGUUCGGAAUUACUGGGCGUAAAGCGCGCGUAGGCGGCAGAGCAAGUUGGGGGUGAAAGCCCGGAGCUCAACCCCGGAACUGCCUUUGAAACUGGAGAGCUAGAAUCUUGGAGAGGCGAGUGGAAUUCCGAGUGUAGAGGUGAAAUUCGUAGAUAUUCGGAAGAACACCAGUGGCGAAGGCGACUCGCUGGACAAGUAUUGACGCUGAGGUGCGAAAGCGUGGGGAGCAAACAGG
This 253-nucleotide ribosomal RNA is filed under the name uncultured bacterium. Its description in RNAcentral is "partial 16S ribosomal RNA". It matches the Rfam family "Bacterial small subunit ribosomal RNA", at positions 524 to 776 of the family's 1533-position model. The record is from RNAcentral.